UAGCAAUAAUUAGUUCGGGAUCGUUCGC
This 28-nucleotide small RNA is filed under the name Bombyx mori (domestic silkworm). Its description in RNAcentral is "piRNA piR-bmo-1321586". The record is from RNAcentral. Lineage: Eukaryota; Metazoa; Arthropoda; Insecta; Lepidoptera; Bombycidae.